RNAcentral lists this ribosomal RNA (584 nucleotides) under uncultured bacterium. Its description in RNAcentral is "bacterial SSU rRNA". It matches the Rfam family "Bacterial small subunit ribosomal RNA", at positions 338 to 917 of the family's 1533-position model. The record is from RNAcentral.
CCUACGGGAGGCAGCAGUAGGGAAUCUUCGGCAAUGGGCGAAAGCCUGACCGAGCAACGCCGCGUGAAUGAUGAAGGCCUUCGGGUUGUAAAAUUCUGUUAUAAGGGAAGAACGACUUUAGUAGGAAAUGGCUAGAGUGUGACGGUACCUUAUGAGAAAGCCACGGCUAACUACGUGCCAGCAGCCGCGGUAAUACCUAGGUGGCGAGCGUUAUCCGGAAUUAUUGGGCGUAAAGAGCGCGCAGGUGGUUGAUUAAGUCUGAUGUGAAAGCCCACGGCUUAACCGUGGAGGGUCAUUGGAAACUGGUCGACUUGAGUGCAGAAGAGGGAAGUGGAAUUCCAUGUGUAGCGGUGAAAUGCGUAGAGAUAUGGAGGAACGCCAGUGGCGAAGGCGGCUUCCUGGUCUGUAACUGACACUGAGGCGCGAAAGCGUGGGGAGCAAACAGGAUUAGAUACUCUGGUAGUCCACGCCGUAAACGAUGAGUGCUAAGUGUUGGGGGUCGAACCUCAGUGCUGAAGUUAACGCAUUAAGCACUCUGCCUGGGGAGUACGGUCGCAAGACUGAAACUCAAAGGAAUUGACGGA